RNAcentral lists this long non-coding RNA (1373 nucleotides) under Lactuca sativa (garden lettuce). Its description in RNAcentral is "long non-coding RNA (LSAT_LNC004668)". Lineage: Eukaryota; Viridiplantae; Streptophyta; Magnoliopsida; Asterales; Asteraceae. The record is from RNAcentral.
UCUGAUGUUCAUGAUGCCAAUAAUGAAGAUGGUAAUCUGGCUAAUUGGAUUGGAAAAGACUUUGAUGACCAAGUAAGAUUAGCAUUUAGCUCAUUAGCAAUAUUUACUUCUUUAGCAAUCUGUCCAAAAUUUGAAUUGUGCAUAACUCAUUCAAUUUAACUUUUUUUGACCUAGAUAUUUUUCCUACAUGUAGAUUAGGAUUUGUAGUUGAGUUUAGACUAUAAAAACGCUUGAUUUGAUUAAAAAUUGAAUGAGUUACAAGCCCCGCAAGGAAGGGAAUCAAAUCUGAUUUUUUUUUCUAACAGCAAUAAAACGUGAUCUGAUUUUGUUGUUCAAAUGUGCAUAACUCAUUCAAUUUAACUUUUUUUGACCUGAAUCUUUUCCCUACAUGUAGAUUUGGAUUUGUACUUGAGUUUAGACUAUAAAAACGCUUGAUUUGAUUAAAAAUUGAAUGAGUUACAAGCCCCGCAAGGAAGGGAAUCAAAUCUGAUUUUUUUUUCUAACAGCAAUAAAACGUGAUCUGAUUUUGUUGUUCAAAUGUGCAUAACUCAUUUGAUUUAACUUUUUUUGACCUGAAUCUUUUUCCUACAUGUAUAUUAGGAUUUGUAGUUGAGCUUAGACUAUAAAAACGUUUGAUUUGGUUGAAAACUGAAUGAGUUACAAGCCCCGCAAUGAAGGGUGUCAAAUCUGUUUUUUUUUAUAUUUAUUUUUCAGCAUUUAAACGUAAUAUGACUUAUUGUAUGUUUUAUUUUGAGAAUAUAGGAUUAUGGAGAAGAUUCAGAAGAAGAUUAUAUAGAAGAAACACCGGCAUGGAAUGUUAUACCAAGUGAUGAAUCAAACCAAGAAGAGGAGCCACAAGAACAACAACCUUCAAAAAAACGAAAAUUUGCAACCACACAAAAACAAAGACAACCAAAAAAACCAACACAAACAAAAAAACCACCACCACCACAAAAACGAACACAAGAAAAAUACCCAACAAAACCAAAACCCAAAAAAAAAAAAAAGACUCAAAAGGAGUUAAGGGACCGGAUUAACCCAACCAGACGAGGUGAGGGUAGAGAUAAUUGUACCGCUCCUGUUUGGAAAUACUUCGAGAUCGAAUGGAUAAAGGAGGACGAUGGAAUUGAAAGAAAGUGGGCCGAAUGUAAUUAUUGUUUACAUUUACUAGCCGCAGAUCCAAACCGGAAUGGUACAACUUCAAUAAACAAGCAUUUUAAUGGGUGCAAGUUAAAUCCAGACAACAUACCGAAACAAGUUGAUGACAAACAACAAAAGUUGUCAUUUACGAAAGCUCCUAAUGGUGAGGGUCAUGUAUACACAUGGAAACAUGAUGAUACUAGGAUCCAACUUGCCUUGCUAGGGCUUUUCAC